RNAcentral lists this transfer RNA (72 nucleotides) under Ictidomys tridecemlineatus (thirteen-lined ground squirrel). RNAcentral describes it as "Spermophilus tridecemlineatus (thirteen-lined ground squirrel) tRNA". It matches the Rfam family "tRNA". From Rfam's summary of the family: Transfer RNA (tRNA) molecules are approximately 80 nucleotides in length. Their secondary structure includes four short double-helical elements and three loops (D, anti-codon, and T loops). Further hydrogen bonds mediate the characteristic L-shaped molecular structure. tRNAs have two regions of fundamental functional importance: the anti-codon, which is responsible for specific mRNA codon recognition, and the 3' end, to which the tRNAs corresponding amino acid is attached (by aminoacyl-tRNA synthetases). tRNAs cope with the degeneracy of the genetic code in two manners: having more than one tRNA (with a specific anti-codon) for a particular amino acid; and 'wobble' base-pairing, i.e. permitting non-standard base-pairing at the 3rd anti-codon position. Lineage: Eukaryota; Metazoa; Chordata; Mammalia; Rodentia; Sciuridae. The record is from Rfam by way of RNAcentral.
GGGGAUGUAGCUCAGUGGUACAGUGCUUGCCUAGCAUUCAUGAGGCUCUGGGUUCAAUCCCCAAUACCACCA